Molecule: ribosomal RNA, 608 nt
Filed under: uncultured bacterium
Lineage: Bacteria
Description: bacterial SSU rRNA
Rfam family: Bacterial small subunit ribosomal RNA
Source: RNAcentral
GGGCGGGGGCACGGGGGGACUCCUACGGGAGGCAGCAGUGGGGAAUCUUGCGCAAUGCGCGAAAGCGUGACGCAGCAACGCCGCGUGGGGGAAGACGGCCUUCGGGUUGUAAACCCCUUUCAGUUGGGACGAAGUCCGGUCGGUGAACAGCCGCGCCGGGUGACGGUACCUUCAGAAGAAGCCCCGGCCAACUACGUGCCAGCAGCCGCGGUAAUACGUAGGGGGCAAGCGUUGUCCGGAAUCAUUGGGCGUAAAGCGCGUGUAGGCGGCUCGGUAAGUCCGCUCUGAAAGCCCGGGGCUCAACCCCGGGAGGCGGGCGGAUACUGCCGAGCUCGAGUCCGGGAGAGGCGAGUGGAAUUCCUGGUGUAGCGGUGAAAUGCGCAGAUAUCAGGAGGAACACCAAUGGCGAAGGCAGCUCGCUGGGACGGUACUGACGCUGAGACGCGAAAGCGUGGGGAGCAAACAGGAUUAGAUACCCUGGUAGUCCACGCCGUAAACGAUGGACACUAGGUGUGGGAGGUGUCGACUCCUUCCGUGCCGAAGCUAACGCAUUAAGUGUCCCGCCUGGGGAGUACGGCCGCAAGGCUAAAACUCAAAGGAAUUGACGG